Molecule: ribosomal RNA, 468 nt
Filed under: uncultured bacterium
Lineage: Bacteria
Description: partial 16S ribosomal RNA
Rfam family: Bacterial small subunit ribosomal RNA
Source: RNAcentral
GACGAACGCUGGCGGCGUGCUUAACACAUGCAAGUCGAACGGAAAGGCCCUGCUUUUGUGGGGUGCUCGAGUGGCGAACGGGGGAGUAACACGUGAGUAACAUCCCCUUGACUUUGGGAUAACUUCAGGAAACUGGGGCUAAAACCGGGUAGGAGCUCCUGCUGCACGGGGGGGGUUGGAAAGAUUCGGCGGUGGGGGAUGGACUAGCGGCUUAUCAGCUUGUUGGUGGGGUAGUGGCUUACCAGGGCUUUGACGGGUAGCCGGCCUGAGAGGGUGACCGGCCACAUUGGGACUGCGAUACGGCCCAGACUCCUACGGGAGGCAGCAGUGGGGAAUAUUGCACAAUGGGCGGACGCCUGAUGCAGCAACGCCGCGUGCGGGAUGACGGCCUUCGGGUUGUAAACCGCUUUCGCCUGUGACGAAGCGUGAGUGACGGUAAUGGGUAAAGAAGCACCGGCUAACUACGUG